This 59-nucleotide transfer RNA is filed under the name Loxodonta africana (African savanna elephant). It matches the Rfam family "tRNA", at positions 14 to 71 of the family's 71-position model. From Rfam's summary of the family: Transfer RNA (tRNA) molecules are approximately 80 nucleotides in length. The record is from Rfam by way of RNAcentral. Lineage: Eukaryota; Metazoa; Chordata; Mammalia; Proboscidea; Elephantidae.
AGUGGUUAAGUGCUCAGUUGCUAACUGAAAGGUUGGUGGUUCGAACCCACCAGCCACUC